Molecule: long non-coding RNA, 7261 nt
Filed under: Gossypium barbadense (sea-island cotton)
Lineage: Eukaryota; Viridiplantae; Streptophyta; Magnoliopsida; Malvales; Malvaceae
Description: long non-coding RNA (GBAR_LNC010464)
Source: RNAcentral
AUGUACGUGUCCGGACAUUGCAUACAUCGUUGGGAUGUUAGGCAGAUAUUUAAGCAACCCUGGUAUAGACCAUUGGACAGCAGCCAAAAGGGUUAUGAGAUAUCUUCAGAGAACAAAAGAUUACAUGUUUACUUAUAAGAGAUCAAAUCUUUUGGAGGUCAUAGGGUAUUCUGAUUCUGAUUUCGCUGGAUGCCAAGAUAGUAGGAAAUCUACAUCAGGCUAUAUUUACCUGUUAGUCGGAGGAGCUAUAUCUUGGAAAAGUGUUAAAGAGACACUUGUAGCUUCGUCCACUAUGGCAGCAGAGUUUGUAGCAUGCAAUGAGGCAUCAAAACAUGGAAUAUGGUUGCGGAACUUUGUCACAGGGCUGCACAUUUCGGAGAAUGUAAAAAGACCACUCAAAUUAUUUUGUAACAUUAAGUCAGCAGUGCUGUAUUCCAAUAACAACAGGAGUUCAUCUAAGUCAAAGCAUAUUGACAUAAAGUUCCUAGUUGUAAAAGAAAGAGUGCAAAAUGGUCAAAUCUCAAUAGAGCACAUUGGGACAAACUCCAUGAUAGCGGAUCCGCUCACAAAAGGUUUACCACCCAAGGUCUUUCAUGAGCACACUGCUCACAUGGGUGUUACAUUGUUUGAUGAUAUCAUGAUUUAGUGGGAGUUUAUAUUUCAGACAUGUAUUUAGUUAUUUUCUGAUCAGAAAUAAAGUAUUCAGUUUAUUCACUCAGUUUAUUAUUUUGAAAUUGACCUCACUUAAGUUUAAGGAAGGACUAGUUGGAAAUAGACAUGUUUAGAUCAUAUUGCAUGCAAUUUCCAUGCUACACAUCCAUACUUGAUCUAUGUCAUUUGGUUGUGUUAAUAUACGUGAUCAUGGAUGGAUUUAGUUACAAUAUUUGUAACGAAAGUCGCCUUGGUUCUAUGUUAACAUAAUUAAUGGACGAGAUUGUACGGAAUGCCUUUUGGAUAUGAUAGUAAAAAUUUUGAGCUCAUAAGGUUAUAUAAUGACAUGUAAUUAUAAAGUAAUUAGUAUAUAUAUGUGGUCCAAGUGGGAGAUUGUUGGAAAAUUUGGACAUCACAUAUAUAAUAAGGAUAAUUACAUAUUAUUUACUAUCAUGAUAGGUUAGCCCCAAAUUAAAAGUGAUCUAAUUUGGUUAGAAUUUUAUUGGGCUUUUAAUUAUUAAAUAAAUAAAGUGUGGGUCAAAUAUGUGUAGAUACUCUUCUAAUCAAAUUCUAAUUAAUGAUGGGCUAAUUAGAAUUUGAUUAGAACUAAUAUGCUAAGGUUAUAAAUAUUAGGGUUAUGGUCCCCAAAUUAUACACAAGAUAUCUUUCCUAAUAUCCCAUAAUUAGGAAAGAAAGAGCAAAUAUUCUCUGAGUUUCUUGUGUGCUAAUUUGGAAGAUCAAAUCCCCAAGUUCCAGAAAGUUUCAAGGAAUCCAUGGAUUCAGAUACGUUUCGCUUCCAUAUCUAGUUUUGUUCUUGAUUUAUUCUUAAUGAUUUGACAUGACAGAUCCUGAUUUAUUAAGUUAUAUUGUAGAUUUAUUUUAUAAAUUCUAACAAGUGAUUCGAUAUGACGAGGCUCUGAUACCACUUGUUAGAAUUUAUAAAAUAAAUCUACAAUAUAACUUAAUAAACCAGGAUCUGUCAUGUCUAAUUAUUAAGAAUAAAUCAAGAACAAAACUAGAUGCGAAAGCGUACCUGAAUCCAUGGAUUCCUUGAAACUUUCUAGAACUUGGGGAUUUGAUCUUCUAAAUUCGCACACAAGAAACUCAGAGAAUAUCUACUCUUUCUUUCCUAAUGAUGGGAUACUAGAAAAGAUAUCUUGUGUAUAAUUUGGGGACGAUAACCCUAAUAUUUAUAACCUUAGCAUAUUAGUUCUAUCAAAUUCUAAUUAGCCCAUCAUUAAUUAGAAUUUGAUUAGAAGAGUAUCUACAAAUAUUUGACCAAUACUUUAUUUAUUUAAUAAUUAAAAGCCCAAUAAAAUUCUAACCAAUUAGAUCACUUUUAAUUUGAGCUAACAUAUCAUGAUAGUAAAUAAUAUGUAAUUAUCCUUAUUAUAUAUGUGACGUCCAAAUUUUCCAACAUGAAGAACUAGCAAAUUUGAAUAUAUCCAAUGAUGAAGAGGAUACUAUAGAAGGGCAACAAAUCGAAGAAGAAGAGGAUGAGGAAUAUGAAUUAUGCUUGGUUGGGAGGGUAUUAACUAAAAGUGUGGUACACAUUCCUUCCUUGAGACAGGUGCUAGCAGAAGUAUGGCAUCCAGUGGGCGGAAUUUCUAUUACAAACUUAGGGGAAAAAAGAACUUUUUUUAGGUUUUAUCAUUAGAUCAAUAUUAAAAGGGUUAUCAAGGGUACACCGUGGUUCUUCAACAGUCACCUAAUUUUGUUUCAAUGAUUGGAGAAGGGGGAACGCUCGCUGCAAGUACCAUUAUAUUUUACAGAGUUGUGGGUACAAAUACAUUAUCUACCGGGAGGUUUCAUGUCUGAAGGAAUGGCACGUCAACUUGGUAAUUUUAUUAAAAAAUUCAUGGAGUCUGAUGUGGCUUUAGUAACUAGGGGAAUUAAAAAAUUUAUGAGGGUAAGAGUUAUGUUGGAUGUUCGAAAACCCCUAAAAAGAAAGAAAAUGAUAGCUAUUUGUCAAAAUGAAACAACAUACGCUAUGUUUCAAUACAAAAAGCUUUCAUUAUUUUGCUAUCUAUGUGGCAAAUUGAAGCAUGGAGAAGGUUUCUGUCCAGUUAGAUUAACGUUAGAAUCAUAAGAAGUUACUUUUGGAUGGGAUCUAUCAAUAGAGUGUUGAUAAGAAUAAGACAAAUGGAAGAUUACAAGUGGCUAAGAGAAGAUAGAUCGGAUUCCAAAUCGGUCGUUGGGGGAAAAUUAAGAGAAAAUGGAGAGAGAUUGGCUUGAGUUAAUCCAAGCCUUAGCCCACAUUAAUGACAACACUAGGUUAGAAGGGAUAACUUAUGGAGGAGAGGAUGUGAGUUAUAUGGAGCUUGGAUCAAACCUAGAGGAAAUUCCUAUUAAAAAAGAUAAAGGUUGUCUUCAAUGAGUUCUAUUGUUUCUCAUUUAGUGGAUUCAAAAAAUUCUCCUAUUAUAUCAGCAGCUGCUGAAAAGUAGACCGACCGAUCACAAUGAAACUACUAAGUUUGAAUGCCCAUGGAUUAGGGCACCCACGGGAAGUAAGGCAUCUCAAAAACAAAGUGAGACAUAUUCAACCCUAGGUUUGGUUUCUCAUGGAAACCAAAGUAAGUGUAAGAAAGAUGGAACGAAUUUGAAGAAAGUGUGGUUUGCAAAAUGGCAUUGAUGCGGAUGCCACUAAAUGGGGACUAUAGUUGGGUUGGAAGCAAGAGUGUAACAUUCAAUUACGAAGCUUUUCAUCGUCACAUAUUGAUGUUAAAAUAACAGAAGUGGAAGGUGCAAAAGUAUGGAGAUUUACGAGAUUUUAUGGAUCACUAGAGGAACCCUGCAGGAGGGAUUGUUGGAAUAUUCUAUGACAUUUAAAUAAUACCAACAACCUACCCUGGUUAGUGGUAGGAGACUUUGAUGAAAUUCUUUUCCUUUUUAAAAGAAAGGAGGGUGUCAACGAGAAGUGAAUCAAAUGUUGGCAUUCUGCCAAGUCUUAGACGAUUGUAAUCUCAUAGAUAUAGGAUUUUUGGGUUAGUGGUUUACAUGGGAGAAAGGGAAACUUCAGAAUAAUAACAUAUGUGAAAGGCAUGAUAAAUGAGUGUGAACCUAGAAUGGUGAACUAUAUUUCCAAAUUUUUGUGUAAGACACCUUACACAUUCUAAGUCGUAUCACUGCCCAAUUCUUGUUAAUACAUUGGAUAGUAGUUCAAAGCAGAAGGGACAAUAACAACCAAAAUUCAGAUUCAAUGCGUAUUUGGUAAUUGAAGAAGGCCUUGAAAGUGAAAUACAAAAGUAGUGGGAAGAAGACAAAAGGGAGGUUCCUACUAAACUAGAAGCAAUAGGAGCAAAACUAAACAAUUGGGCUCAGGCAAAUCAGUUGGGAAGGCAACGUCACGCAACCUAUUGAAGUGUGAGAUUAGAAGAAUUAAAUACGAAUACUCCAGAUGAAAAAAAUUUGGCAGAAUUAACAAAGAUAAAGCUUGCACUAAACUUAAAAGCAUACAAUGAGGAGUUAUUUUGGGAACAAAUUGGUUACGUUUUGGACAUAGGAACACAUCAUAUUUCCAUAACAUUGUGUCGGCUAAAAAGAAAAAAAAACACAAUUCAGGAGCUUAAGAACGAUAGUGGGGAAUAGGUUCAAGAUGAGAAAAAUAUGGCAAACAUUGCCACCGACUAUUUCAAAUAGUUGUUUAUGGCUUCUUCUAGAAGAGAUAGCACUCGAGCGUUAAUAGAAAUUCAAUCAUGCAUUAAUGAAGUCAAUAAGGUAGAGUUGACAAUGGAGUUUAAGAAUAAGGAGAUUGGGAGGAAGUUAAAAUAAUGUCGCCAAUGAAAGCUUCUGGAGAUGACGGUUUCCUAGCUUCAUUUCAUUAGAGAUAUUUGAGUAUCUUAGGAAAUGAGAUCAACCAUAAAAAUAUCGUGUUUAUCCCAAAGACUAAUUCACCAACAAGCAUGACUUAUUUCAGACCAAUAAUCCUUUGCAAUGUGCUAUAUAGAAUACUAUCCACGGUUAUUGUCAACAGGUUUAGAAUAGUAUUGGACAAAUGUAUUGAUGAAGCUCAAGUAGCGUUUGUGCCUAGAAGACAAAUAAAGAUAAUAUUCUUGUAGUUUAUGAGAUAUUACAUUCUUUCAAGAGGAGGAAAUAUGGAUCUCAAGGUUUUUUUUCUUUAAAAUUAGAUAUGAGCAAAGCCUAUGAUAGAGUAGAGUAGUGCUUUUUGCAAAAAAUAAUUACUAAAAUGGGCUUUUGCAAUUAAUGGAUUGAAUUAGUUAUGACAUGUGUGGCUACGACUUGGGGAUCCAUUAAGUCUGUAUUUAUUUCUAUUAUGUGCUGAAGGUUUUUCAAGUCUAUUUAGGGAAGCUAAGUGGGAGAGCUUGAUAAAAAGGGCAAAGGUUGGUAGAAGUAGUCCACAUAUCCAAUAACCCAAAAAAGUACCUUGGUUUGCCAACAAUGGUGGGUAGAAAAAAGAAAGAUGCACUCACUAACUUAAAGGAAAGAUUUGUUAAGUGAAUAGAGAGCUAGAACACAAGGCAACUGUUAAUGGGAGGGAAAGAGGUAUUCAUCAAAUCAAUUUUAUAGGCAAUUCCUAUUUAUGCAAUGCAUAACUUCUUAUUACCAAGUUCUUUAUGCCGUGAAUUAAAUAGCAUGAUUGCAAAAUUUUGGUGGUGUAAUGCAAACACGAAGAAGGCUAUACAUUGGUGCCAAAGGAGAAUGGUCUCUCAACCUAAAGGGAAAGGUAGGUUAAGAUUUAAAGAUUUGUCCAAAUUUAAUAUAGUUUUGCUCAUGAAGCAAGGGUGGAGAUUAAUGUCGAAGCCCGAUUGUUUGUUAGCAAAGGUUAUGAAAGAAAAAUACUAUUCGAACACAGAUUUCAUGAAUGCAAGUAUAAGCUCUUACCUAUCAUAUACCUGGUGUAGUAUAUAGGCAUCUAGAAGGUUUUUGGAAUAGGGUUGUGGUUGGCGUGUGGGAAAUGGUGCAAACAUCAACAUAUGGACUGACAGUUGGUUGUUAGAGCCUGGACAAGAAAGAAUUCAAAGACAUGAAAUUAAUGCAAGAUAUACAAGGGUCGCUGAUUUAAUUGAAACAUGUUCGCCUUUAUGGAAAGAAGAAAUUAUUGAAAAUCUAUUUUAUGAGGAAACCGCACGAAGGAUACUAGAUAUACUUUUCUCAAGCUGUGAUCAGAAUGACCAUUUGGUCUGGAAAGGUGACAAUUUAGGGAUUUACUCAGUCAAAAAUGGGUACAGGUGGCUCAAAGCAACAGAUACAACUGCCAAUGAUGAUCCAAACAAGUUACAAGAAUUACUCUUUACAAAAAUAUAGAGCCUAAGUCUAGCUAGAAAAAUAAAAAUUACAUGUUGGAAAAUAAUUAGCAAUUACAUCCCCACACUAUUUAAUUUACAACAAAGAAGAAUUGGAGUACAAAACUUAUGCCUAGUUUGUCGAAGUGAUGGAGAAUUUAUUAAGCAAACCUUUCGUGAGUGUCCUUUCACGGAACAAGUCCUGCAACGUAUGGAAGUAACAUAGUCGACCAACAAUGAGAAUCAAAAUUGGAAAAUUUGGUUAGAUGCCGAGUUAUUAAUAGGAAAUACACUAUUACUAAGAAAAAUUGUAGUUAUAUUCUGGGCCUUAUGGUACAAUCGUAAUAGGGUAUAUCAUAAUGGAACACGACAAAAUGUUUUUGGAGUAGUUUCUUUCAUAAAUGCUUACAUAUUAGAGAUUAAUAGUAUGGGUAUUAUAUCGAAAGGUAUGCAAGAGGAUUAGGAGACUGUUUGCCAACCAAUGGAAGGAGAUAAUGUCAAAAUUAAUGUUGAUGCAUGUUGUAAUAAUCACAUAAACAAUUCAGUUUCAGGGAUUAUUCUAAGAAACAAUGGAAGUCAUAUAAUGGCAACAAGAACUUAUCCAAAUAUACAUGUGAUAGAUGCGACAAUUGUAGAAGUAUGAGCAUGUGUUCAGGCUCUAAUCUUUGCUGAAGAGCUAGGAAUUCAGAAAAUAGUGGUUGAAAGGGAUUUAUUAACUGUAAAAAAAAGUGGUGGCUACAAAGGAAGAUGAACUAGUCAAUGCAGCUUUGAUCAAAGAAAGUAAAGAGAGAAUAAAUAAUUUUGAAUCAGUAAAGUUUAGAUUCGUACCUCGUUCAGCGAAUUGAGUAGCACAUGAAAUGGCACAAGAAGGAAAACUCUUCGACUCUUCGAUGUUCUAGAUUGAGGAAGCACUAAAAAAAUUGGAAAGUAUAGCAGAUCUGGACAGAGGGAGAAUGGGCAGAGAAGAAUGUUCGAGAAUAUUUGAGUAAAAUGACAAAAAUGUGAGGUUAAGUGUGUUAAAAUCAAAAAAAUAAGGAUGGAAGGAUCAGAGAAUGGUUAUUAGAAACAGUCUUACCAAAAAGAAGGUAGAUCCACUCCUGUUGCAAUCACUGAUGAAGAGACGAAUAUGAGAUAGGAAGAAGGUAGACGAUUUGGUUACCGACUGGAUUUCUUUGCUUUCGUUUUGGAUUAGGAUUUUUAGGGUUUAAAAUUUUUUCUUUUAGGGGUAACUUUAGUGGAGAUUUAAUUUUUCUUUAUUAAGUUAGGGGACACCGACCUUAAUGGCAAUUUGUUUUGAGACAGCUGGUAAUAAGUGGGUUUGUAACCCUUUUUUUCUUCCAAUCAAUGUAUUAGUCAAAUUUUCCUUC